RNAcentral lists this ribosomal RNA (253 nucleotides) under uncultured bacterium. RNAcentral's name for it is "partial 16S ribosomal RNA". It matches the Rfam family "Bacterial small subunit ribosomal RNA", at positions 524 to 776 of the family's 1533-position model. The record is from RNAcentral.
UACGUAGGGUGCAAGCGUUGUCCGGAAUUAUUGGGCGUAAAGAGCUCGUAGGCGGUCUGUCGCGUCUGCUGUGAAAACUCGGGGCUUAACCCCGGGCCUGCAGUGGGUACGGGCAGACUAGAGUGCGGUAGGGGAGACUGGAAUUCCUGGUGUAGCGGUGAAAUGCGCAGAUAUCAGGAGGAACACCGGUGGCGAAGGCGGCUCACUGGCUCGUAUCUGACGCUCAGGCGCGACAGCGUGGGGAUCAAACAGG